AAAUUGAAGAGUUUGAUCAUGGCUCAGAUUGAACGCUGGCGGCAGGCCUAACACAUGCAAGUCGAACGGUAACAGGAAGAAGCUUGCUUCUUUGCUGACGAGUGGCGGACGGGUGAGUAAUGUCUGGGAAACUGCCUGAUGGAGGGGGGAUAACUACUGGAAACGGUAGCUAAUACCGCAUAACGUCGCAAGACCAAAGAGGGGGACCUUCGGGCCUCUUGCCAUCGGAUGUGCCCAGAUGGGAUUAGCUAGUAGGUGGGGUAACGGCUCACCUAGGCGACGAUCCCUAGCUGGUCUGAGAGGAUGACCAGCCACACUGGAACUGAGACACGGUCCAGACUCCUACGGGAGGCAGCAGUGGGGAAUAUUGCACAAUGGGCGCAAGCCUGAUGCAGCCAUGCCGCGUGUAUGAAGAAGGCCUUCGGGUUGUAAAAGUACUUUCAGCGGGGAGGAAGGGAGUAAAGUUAAUACCUUUGCUCAUUGACGUUACCCGCAGAAGAAGCACCGGCUAACUCCGUGCCAGCAGCCGCGGUAAUACGGAGGGUGCAAGCGUUAAUCGGAAUUACUGGGCGUAAAGCGCACGCAGGCGGUUUGUUAAGUCAGAUGUGAAAUCCCCGGGCUCAACCUGGGAACUGCAUCUGAUACUGGCAAGCUUGAGUCUCGUAGAGGGGGGUAGAAUUCCAGGUGUAGCGGUGAAAUGCGUAGAGAUCUGGAGGAAUACCGGUGGCGAAGGCGGCCCCCCGGACGAAGACUGACGCUCAGGUGCGAAAGCGUGGGGAGCAAACAGGAUUAGAUACCCUGGUAGUCCACGCCGUAAACGAUGUCGACUUGGAGGUUGUGCCCUUGAGGCGUGGCUUCCGGAGCUAACGCGUUAAGUCGACCGCCUGGGAGUACGGCCGCAAGGUUAAAACUCAAAUGAAUUGACGGGGGCCCGCACAAGCGGUGGAGCAUGUGGUUUAAUUCGAUGCAACGCGAAGAACCUUACCUGGUCUUGACAUCCACAGAACUUUCCAGAGAUGGAUUGGUGCCUUCGGGAACUGUGAGACAGGUGCUGCAUGGCUGUCGUCAGCUCGUGUUGUGAAAUGUUGGGUUAAGUCCCGCAACGAGCGCAACCCUUAUCCUUUGUUGCCAGCGGUCCGGCCGGGAACUCAAAGGAGACUGCCAGUGAUAAACUGGAGGAAGGUGGGGAUGACGUCAAGUCAUCAUGGCCCUUACGACCGUGGCUACACACGUGCUACAAUGGCGCAUACAAAGAGAAGCGACCUCGCGAGAGCAAGCGGACCUCAUAAAGUGCGUCGUAGUCCGGAUUGAGUCUGCAACUCGACUCCAUGAAGUCGGAAUCGCUAGUAAUCGUGGAUCAGAAUGCCACGGUGAAUACGUUCCCGGGCCUUGUACACACCGCCCGUCACACCAUGGGAGUGAGUUGCAAAAGAAGUAGGUAGCUUAACCUUCGGGAGGGCGCUUACCACUUUGUGAUUCAUGACUGGGGUGAAGUCGUAACAAGGUAACCGUAGGGGAACCUGCGGUUGGAUCACCUCCUUA
Molecule: ribosomal RNA, 1542 nt
Filed under: Escherichia coli
Lineage: Bacteria; Pseudomonadati; Pseudomonadota; Gammaproteobacteria; Enterobacterales; Enterobacteriaceae
Description: bacterial SSU rRNA
Rfam family: Bacterial small subunit ribosomal RNA
Source: RNAcentral